UUUGAUUCUGGCUCAGGACGAACGCUGGCGGCGUGCUUAACACAUGCAAGUCGAACGGGGUGUUUAUUUCGGUAAACACCAAGUGGCGAACGGGUGAGUAACGCGUAAGCAAUCUACCUUCAAGAUGGGGACAACACUUCGAAAGGGGUGCUAAUACCGAAUGAAUGUAAGAGUAUCGCAUGAGACACUUACUAAAGGAGGCCUCUGACAUAAGCUUCCGCUUGAAGAUGAGCUUGCGUCUGAUUAGCUAGUUGGUGAGGGUAAAGGCCCACCAAGGCGACGAUCAGUAGCCGGUCUGAGAGGAUGAACGGCCACAUUGGGACUGAGACACGGCCCAGACUCCUACGGGAGGCAGCAGUGGGGAAUCUUCCGCAAUGGGCGAAAGCCUGACGGAGCAACGCCGCGUGAACGAUGAAGGUCUUAGGAUCGUAAAGUUCUGUUGUUAGGGACGAAGGGUAAGGAUCAUAAUAAGGUUUUUAUUUGACGGUACCUAACGAGGAAGCCACGGCUAACUACGUGCCAGCAGCCGCGGUAAUACGUAGGCGGCAAGCGUUGUCCGGAAUUAUUGGGCGUAAAGGGAGCGCAGGCG
This 589-nucleotide ribosomal RNA is filed under the name uncultured Bacteroidota bacterium. Its description in RNAcentral is "bacterial SSU rRNA". It matches the Rfam family "Bacterial small subunit ribosomal RNA", at positions 12 to 577 of the family's 1533-position model. Lineage: Bacteria; Pseudomonadati; Bacteroidota. The record is from RNAcentral.